Molecule: transfer RNA, 62 nt
Filed under: Actinomycetota bacterium
Lineage: Bacteria; Bacillati; Actinomycetota
Description: tRNA-Thr
Rfam family: tRNA
About the family: Transfer RNA (tRNA) molecules are approximately 80 nucleotides in length.
Source: RNAcentral
AGCUCAGCAGGUAGAGCAGCUCACUCGUAAUGAGCAGGUCAGCGGUUCGAGUCCGCUCGUCG